Long non-coding RNA from Asparagus officinalis (garden asparagus), 269 nucleotides. RefSeq lists it as uncharacterized. Lineage: Eukaryota; Viridiplantae; Streptophyta; Magnoliopsida; Asparagales; Asparagaceae. The record is from RefSeq and is a predicted model, not a curated record. The transcript has 3 exons.
GUUUGUAUUUUGGUGAACACAAUAUUGAAGGAAUGCUUGCGGUGCUGGACCCCUUACAUAAUAUUCUUGAGGAAGGACCUGAAACAUUGAAAGAGACAACCUUCAUUCAGGCAUAUGGUCGUGAACUGUUGGAAGCUCGUGAAUGUUGCUUGAAGUAUAGGCGAACAGGAAAGGAUGCAGAACUUACUCAGGCAUGGGGUUUGUAUUAUCAUGUUUUCAGGCGAAUAGACAAGCAACUUCCAAGUCUUACUACCCUAGACCUACAGGCA